GGGCCCCGUGGGGGAGCGAGGGGGCCCCGCGGGGGAGCGAGGGGGCCCCGCGGGGUCCCUCCUGCAGGAAUCGCUUGCCGUGGUGCGGGCGCUGGAGGAGGAGAAGGAGCGCUGGGAGCAGGAGCUGAGGGCGACACGGAACCGCUUCCUUCUGCACAUGCGGAGAAUCGGCUUCCGGCUGCUGCACGUGCAGGAGGAGCUGCGCCGGGCACUGGAGCAGGGUCACGUGAUCCCACAACGGCGACACCUCGAGCUGUGGCACCGUCACGUGCAGGAUAUCACGGCCGCACACCUGGAGGAGAUGGCCGAGCUCGACCAAGACGCGGAGGAGAGGGGGG
Molecule: long non-coding RNA, 338 nt
Organism: Lethenteron reissneri (Far Eastern brook lamprey)
Lineage: Eukaryota; Metazoa; Chordata; Hyperoartia; Petromyzontiformes; Petromyzontidae
Source: RefSeq, a predicted model, not a curated record